AAGCUUAUGUCUGAACCCAAAGGAUAUAACUAUAUGCUGGUGAAAUUUUGGAUAAAUAACAAUUCCAAGUGUCCUGUGCAAAAACAUUAAGAAAGGCGCUUCCAACUCCCUGAGGAGCAGGUACAUCACACCAAUAGAACAUUCGAGAAAAGAAACUAACCACUGCAAAAUACCAGGAAAGCAGCAAAGAGACGAGAAGUUCUCAGCUGCUUUUUCAAACUAAACUAUAAGUACUGAACAUAUAAGUUUCUAUAACAAGACCCCUUGCAAAGACACUGUUCAAGAGAAUGAAGGUAGUCAUCAACUUCUAGGAUUCCAAAUGUUUGCUACUCCAUUCAACCAGCUUCAUGCUCUUAUUCUCGAUUCAUCUAUUUGAUCCUGCAAACAACUCAAACAAGCCACAGCAACUUUUCCAGGAAGUUGUUUGCACUGGUCGUGAAGGUAUCGCUGUAAACUGAUGGCCAUGGCAUUCUCGAGCUGGAGAUUCUUUCACAUCUGCAGAAACACUAGCAUCAAUUUUAGGAGCACUGUGGGGUGCCUCUAUUUUUUCUUCAUUUUCUACGAUCGCAAAAGCCUUUGCAUCUGUACUUUCUAAAGUAUUACCACUUGAUAUUGCACUGGCAUUGCAUGACACUGCAGUAGCUGUUUCAUCUCUUUUCUCCGAUCCUGUCUCCAUCAGAACUUCUGAAAUAGUGGCUUUGUCAACUAUAGCACCCAAAUUUUCCUUCCAAUUUUCCACAACAGUAUCUGAAGCUGUAUCUUUCUCAUCAACAACACACAAAUUUUCUUCCCCUUUCUCCUCCACCACCGAUUCAACAGCAGAUGCAAUCACAUUAUCAGCAUCUGAAGCACUUGCUGUGACUUGAACUAUGUCUUCUGAUAUUGCAGCCUUAUCCAAAUCACAUGCAGAGAUUGUUCCCACAAGGAUAUCAGCAACUUGUUCAUCAGGCAAAGAUUCAUUAUCUUUCACUAAUCCAACAGCUGGAGCAUCAUCAUCAACCACAAUACUAUUCUUAUCAAGCAAAGAUUCAAUCUCUUUCACUAAUUCAACAACUGGAGCAUCAUCAACCAUAAUACUAUUCUUACCAGGCAAAGAUUCAAUACCUUUCGCUAAUUCAACAGUUGGAGCAUCAUCAACCACAACAUCAUUCUUAUCAGCAACAUCAUAUUUUUCUACUGAGCUGCUACUGCUGCUGCUACUGGAACUCCUUUGCAACCCUCCUGGGUUGGAUUCAAUCAUGAUUUCAGCAUUCUCAACACUUAUCUUCUGGCUCUCAGAUUCACACUCAACCUUCAAUUCCCUUUCAACCUGAACAAGACCUCCUCCUUCAUUUCCAGCAAUUUCCACUUCCUUGCCUUCAUGUUUCACCCCAUUGAAUUCAUUUUCUUCAAUUGACCGAUCACGUGAAUCAUCCAAUUGCUUCUCUCCAUCUUCAACCUCUCCUUCAGUAAACUGGUUUUGGUGAUUCUGAUAAUCUUGAGAUGCAGGGGAACUACCCUCACUGUCACUCUCUUUAUCAUCACGCUUCAGAUCCUCCUCACCAGGAAAAGAACCGGUACUUCGAGAAGGAGGUUCUACUGCUUGAACCUGCUUCUUUUUCUUAGCAGCUUUUCGCUUCUUAGCACCUGAAGGCAUGUUUUGGGUUUUAUGGAACUACUGUUGCUCUGUUUUGCAAGAAAUGGGAUCUUUUGUUUGUGUUUCAAAAUCUGAAAUUGAAGAAUCUUGUUCUUGUUUUAGCUUAGUUUUGUGGUGUAUUGGGGAAUGGGGGGAUUUUGAAGUUUGGUAGUACCAAUGGAGAAGAGUGAGUAACA
This 1812-nucleotide unclassified non-coding RNA is filed under the name Hevea brasiliensis (rubber tree). Lineage: Eukaryota; Viridiplantae; Streptophyta; Magnoliopsida; Malpighiales; Euphorbiaceae. The record is from RNAcentral.